Molecule: ribosomal RNA, 468 nt
Filed under: uncultured bacterium
Lineage: Bacteria
Description: partial 16S ribosomal RNA
Rfam family: Bacterial small subunit ribosomal RNA
Source: RNAcentral
GACGAACGCUGGCGGCGUGCUUAACACAUGCAAGUCGAACGGAAAGGCCCUGCUUUUGUGGGGUGCUCGAGUGGCGAACGGGUGAGUAACACGUGAGUAACCUGCCCUUGACUUUGGGAUAACUUCAGGAAACUGGGGCUAAUACCGGAUAGGAGCUCCUGCUGCAUGGUGGGGGUUGGAAAGUUUCGGCGGUUGGGGAUGGACUCGCGGCUUAUCCGCUUGUUGGUGGGGUAGUGGCUUACCAAGGCUUUGACGGGUAGCCGGCCUGAGAGGGUGACCGGCCACAUUGGGACUGCGAUACGGCGCAGACUGCUACGGGAGGCAGCAGUGGGGAAUAUUGCAGAAUGGGCGGAAGCCUGAUGCAGCAACGCCGCGUGCGGGAUGCCGGCCUUCGGGUUGUAAACCGCUUUCGCCUGUGACGAAGCGUGAGUGACGGUAAUGGGUAAAGAAGCACCGGCUAACUACGUG